UGGGGAAUAUUGCACAAUGGGCGCAAGCCUGAUGCAGCGACGCCGCGUGGGGGAUGACGGCCUUCGGGUUGUAAACUCCUUUCGCUAGGGACGAAGCUUUUUGUGACGGUACCUAGAUAAGAAGCACCGGCUAACUACGUGCCAGCAGCCUCGGUAAUACGUAGGGUGCGAGCGUUGUCCGGAAUUACUGGGCGUAAAGGGCUCGUAGGUGGUUUGUCGCGUCGUCUGUGAAAUUCCGGGGCUUAACUCCGGGCGUGCAGGCGAUACGGGCAUAACUUGAGUACUGUAGGGGUAACUGGAAUUCCUGGUGUAGCGGUGAAAUGCGCAGAUAUCAGGAGGAACACCGAUGGCGAAGGCAGGUUACUGGGCAGUUACUGACGCUGAGGAGCGAAAGCAUGGGUAGCGAACAGG
Molecule: ribosomal RNA, 411 nt
Filed under: Actinomycetes bacterium
Lineage: Bacteria; Bacillati; Actinomycetota; Actinomycetes
Description: Actinobacteria bacterium partial 16S ribosomal RNA
Rfam family: Bacterial small subunit ribosomal RNA
Source: RNAcentral